ACUCGGUAUGAAUGACACAAGGGUCCAAUGAGUUGACUCCUCGGAGAAGCCGAGUCAAGCCCCCCCCCCCCACCUUUCCUCAUUUCCUAGCUCGACCUGAUCUAUUGGAAGCGUAGGUGCCAUGUUGAUGGUCCCAGAAGUCUCCCAAAAACGUCUUCGCCGCAUCCAAACUGGGAUAAUAUGUGGGUUCCAUGAAGAUUUGAGACAACGAGUCCGUUGAAUCGGAACUCAACAGUGGCCGGCUCACCCUCGCUUCCGAACUUCCCAUGACCAUCACCAUCACUUGCUUAUAUGCAUAGAAAAACCUCUUCAAUGCUGAUUCAAUCGCCUGCAAAGCCUGAAGCAAAUGAAUCUUCUCCGACCCUACCUUUUCGCGGUACAGCUUCAUCACUGCCUCCUGAACCCUUGGCCCUCCCUUUGGAUCCACCUCAACGCCCAAGAGGUAGGGAACCUUGUGUUUCAGAUCUUUUGACGAUUUCGUGAUCUCAACGAGUCCUCGUGAUCUGAAGCAGAAUGGUUCUGAUUCCGGCGAGGAUUUGAUCGAGAGCUGCUUCUUCAGCCUGAGAAAAUCGUCCGGGUCCAUUAGGAGAUGGAGGUCUUCGAUGUCUGCCAGAAGUUUCCAGAUUCGUUCCAGCAACCAACAGUCGCUUGAGGCUUUUUCCAAGUCUCUCUCCUCGAUUCUCUCUGCUAUCCGUUUGAGAAGCUGUUGCGCUGUGUAGAUCCAUGACUCCAAGAUCUGGGAAGUGGUGUACAGCGUCUGGUUCUCAUAGUUCUCGACGUGAUCGUACGGAUUCCUCUUCAGAGAAUGAAGCUCUGAUGGCUUGCAGACUAGGUCGUACUCCAGGUUUGGCUUCCCUACGAGGUUCGGUUCUCCCAGACCUAGCGUGUACGGACACCCUCGCAUCUCGCAUUCAAUCGAGUACAUGAUUUUCUGUGCAAUAUCUUCCGAUUUCGGCCACGUGGCCAGCCUUGGAAGCAAGCUCGCUUCGCUGGUUCGGCUCACCACCGGUGUCGCUCCCGGAACCUUCCAAACCUCCGCGCAGCUCCCAUCGCGAGCCAAAACGCCGUUCGAUAAGCUUAGAUCAGAGAUGGGUGCAGUUCCACGCAUCUCCCCUUCUUCUUCCUCCUCCUCGCACAAGAUCGCUACGAGCUGAAUCUGAUUGGUCGUCAAGGACUCGAGCCUCCGCUUCCACUCUCGACGAUUUGCGUACGGUCUGGGGUCUGACAAAACGGUGGAAACGAACCGGAAGGUGAGCUCCAACGCUUGCAAAGCCGGCCUGAUAAGAGACUCAUUCUUCCAAUUCGGAAACUCUCUCGAAUCCCAUAGCUUCUUAAGCUCCGACAGCCGGAGGUAGUACUCGUACGCUGAACAUUCAGGCGAAGGAGCGGACGAUAAAUCACCGGCACGAAACGCAGAGGGGAUCGAAACCUGAAGCUUAUUUGAAAAUUUGGGCGACUUUUUGGGCAUAUCAGGUGAGACCAUUUUCGCUGUGCAAUCUAAAUCAACCAUGUUUAGGAAUAGAAGUGAAUGAAAACCGUCGACAACUUGUAUUAUCUGGUUUGCUCUAAUUGAGGAGGCGAAGAGAUGGAGGUAUUUAUAGGGGCAAAAGAGGGUCGAUGAGAAAAGCGUGUGAAAACUGGAAAG
This 1645-nucleotide long non-coding RNA is filed under the name Vitis vinifera (wine grape). RNAcentral's name for it is "long non-coding RNA (VVIN_LNC003984)". The record is from RNAcentral. Lineage: Eukaryota; Viridiplantae; Streptophyta; Magnoliopsida; Vitales; Vitaceae.